CUACGGAGGAUCCGAGCGUUAUCCGGAUUUAUUGGGUUUAAAGGGAGCGUAGGUGGACAGUUAAGUCAGUUGUGAAAGUUUGCGGCUCAACCGUAAAAUUGCAGUUGAUACUGGCUGUCUUGAGUACAGUAGAGGUGGGCGGAAUUCGCGGUGUAGCGGGGAAAUGCUUAGAUAUCACGAAGAACUCCGAUUGCGAAGGCAGCUCACUGGACUGCAACUGACACUGAUGCUCGAAAGUGUGGGUAUCAAACAGGAUUAGAUACCCUGGUAGUCCACACAGUAAACGAUGAAUACUCGCUGUUUGCGAUAUACAGUAAGCGGCCAAGCGAAAGCAUUAAGUAUUCCACCUGGGGAGUACGCCGGCAACGGUGAAACUCAAAGGAAUUGACGGGG
This 393-nucleotide ribosomal RNA is filed under the name uncultured bacterium. RNAcentral's name for it is "partial 16S ribosomal RNA". It matches the Rfam family "Bacterial small subunit ribosomal RNA", at positions 523 to 918 of the family's 1533-position model. The record is from RNAcentral.